This 655-nucleotide ribosomal RNA is filed under the name Terminalia myrtifolia. RNAcentral's name for it is "eukaryotic LSU rRNA". The stretch from base 225 to 384 matches the Rfam family "5.8S ribosomal RNA". The record is from RNAcentral. Lineage: Eukaryota; Viridiplantae; Streptophyta; Magnoliopsida; Myrtales; Combretaceae.
UAACAAGGUUUCCGUAGGUGAACCUGCGGAAGGAUCAUUGUCGAUGCCUGCAAAGCAGAACGACCCGCGAACCGUUUUCCAACGCUCGGGAUACCGGGGGGCGUCCGGUCGCUCGGUAGACCGAGUCUCCGUACGUCGAGGGUGGUGCAUCCCACCUCCGGCGAACGGACCCCUAAACAAACCCCGGCGCGCGAAGCGCCAAGGUACUCCAAUAGUAGGGCACGCGCCCGUAGCCCUGGGUUCCAGUGUGCUCGGGCCGCCGCCCAACGUUGUAAUAAAGUCUGAACGACUNNNGUGUGAAUUGCAGAAUCCCGUGAACCAUCGAGUCUUUGAACGCAAGUUGCGCCCGAGGCCUCGGCCGAGGGCACGUCUGCCUGGGUGUCACGCACCAUUUUGCCUCCAAACCCUCCGCCCCUCGAACGUUGCGGCGAUGGUUUGGAUGCGGAAGCUGGCCUCCCGUGACCGCGAGCCACGGAUGGCCCAAACACGUGCUGGGUAAGCGAAGCGCCACGGCAUUCGGUGGUCGAUCUAAGCCCCGUAAACGGUGCCGGUGGUGGCCGCAUCCGACCACAGCCCGCGGCCCUAAACGCUACACGACGCGACCCCAGGUCAGGCGGGGCUACCCGCUGAGUUUAAGCAUAUCAAUAAGCGGAGG